Long non-coding RNA from Sarcophilus harrisii (Tasmanian devil), 714 nucleotides. RefSeq lists it as uncharacterized. The record is from RefSeq and is a predicted model, not a curated record. The transcript has 3 exons. NCBI's taxonomy places the organism in Eukaryota, Metazoa, Chordata, Mammalia, Dasyuromorphia, Dasyuridae.
CAAUCCUGAUUAAGACUCCUAGAAUUUGGCACGCAUUUUGUGAGAAGCUCACUGGCCAGUCUCCUCUUCCUCUUUACUAUUUGACAGUAGUGUUAAUUUGUUGACAAAUCAAUUUGUUCAUUAAAAUUCAGAAGGCUUGUUAGAUUUGCAAGCUCAAUAAAGUGUAACACACAGAUUAAUGAUUAAGAUGACAAUCUUAUUUCUUUUGUCUAGGACAAGAUUAGAUCUCUGGGUCUCAUUUACUUGGAUCUUAUUUUCAAUAGGGUUCGUUUUUAUUGUGAACAGCAAGUUAGUAAGAGGGAGACCUGUAGCUGUGUCUUUCUUAGGGAAGGCCUAAAGCUUUGGAUUGAGAGUUUAGGAACAUGGUUAUAUUUAACAUUACAUGCGGGUAGAGAUGAAGAAACUGAAGUGAAUUCCUUGAGACCUCAGACUUUAUUCUGUUUAAGGAAAGGCAGCUGUCUGUGCGACUUAACUGGCUGAGGAGGCUAAGAUUCAAGCCAAAUGGGAAAGAGGCUUCUUGGUUACCUAAGAGCAGGUGGAGUCAAUGUCCUUAAAACUUGGAGGAUGAUCUACAGCAGAAAGUCACCACACCCAGUCCUGCUUCAACAAGAGACCUUUUGGUAUGGAAGUUGGGGAGGGGGCUGAUUCUAUUCCAGCUAAAAGCUGUAUCCUUUUCAUAAUACAGCUAAAUAAACUUCCUUUUGUUAACUGUUG